AAGUCGUAACAAGGUUUCCGUAGGUGAACCUGCGGAAGGAUCAUUAAAAUAAUAAUGAAUGUCGGGGGGAGGGCGCUUCGGUGCUUUUUCCCCCGCGUAUUCAACCAAACCCGCUCGUGUAUUUGGAUCAACCAAAAAAAUCAAAUAAAAUUUUUAACGAUAAUAAUUAAACAAACUUUCAACAACGGAUCUCUUGGCUCUC
RNAcentral lists this unclassified non-coding RNA (202 nucleotides) under Paraglomus sp. RNAcentral describes it as "partial internal transcribed spacer region". The stretch from base 1 to 46 matches the Rfam family "Eukaryotic small subunit ribosomal RNA", at positions 1786 to 1831 of the family's 1831-position model. The record is from RNAcentral. Lineage: Eukaryota; Fungi; Glomeromycota; Glomeromycetes; Paraglomerales; Paraglomeraceae.